AGAGAGAGACAUGCGCGCAUAUCAAUAAGCGGAGGAAAAGAAACUAACAAGGAUUCCCCUAGUAACGGCGAGUGAAGCGGGAAGAGCUCAAAUUUGAAAUCUUAAAGGGUUUCCCUUUACGAAUUGUAGUUUAAAGAAGUGUUUUCUGUUGAGGUUUUGGUAAAAGUUCUUUGGAAUAGGACAUCAUAGAGGGUGAGAAUCCCGUAUUUGACCUUUACUUUCAACUUUGUGAUACACUUUCAAAGAGUCGGAUUGUCUGGGAAUGCAGUCCAAAAUGGGUGGUAAAUUUCAUCUAAAGCUAAAUAUUGGCGAGAGACCGAUAGCGAACAAGUACCGUGAGGGAAAGAUGAAAAGAACUUUGAAAAGAGAGUUAAACAGUACGUGAAAUUGUCAAAAGGGAAGCGUUUGACACCAGUGUUGUUUUUCUGAAAAUCAAUUAAAGAACUGUUUAUGCUAAGCUGUUUAGACUUUAUCAGCUAUCUGUUUAGUUUUGAGCUUUUCUUUAAUGCACUUUUCAGUUAACAAGUCAACAUCAAUUUCUUUUGCUGUAAAAAAGCUUGAGGAAGGUGGCUUGAGAUUCGUCUUAAGUGUUUAUAGCCUCUUGCCUAUGCAGUCGGAGAGAUUGAGGUCUGCAGCGUAGAUCCUUCGGGGCUAAAUGCAUUUGUGCUAAGUUAUAGCAUUUUAUAGACAACUUGUUGACUAUGAUUUGUCUUGUAGCUUACUCGCUUAUGUUAUUUUACCUACGCUUAGGAUGUUGACGCAUGAGAUAUACGC
This 774-nucleotide ribosomal RNA is filed under the name uncultured Neocallimastigales. RNAcentral describes it as "partial large subunit ribosomal RNA". It matches the Rfam family "Eukaryotic large subunit ribosomal RNA", at positions 23 to 647 of the family's 3401-position model. The record is from RNAcentral. Lineage: Eukaryota; Fungi; Neocallimastigomycota; Neocallimastigomycetes; Neocallimastigales.